This is a long non-coding RNA of Homo sapiens (human), 8926 nucleotides long. RefSeq lists it as uncharacterized. The record is from RefSeq and is a predicted model, not a curated record. The transcript is spliced from 2 exons. Lineage: Eukaryota; Metazoa; Chordata; Mammalia; Primates; Hominidae.
UUCUUCAUACCAUCAACAGUUUAAGUCUGAAAAUACCUUAGCUUUUAUGCCCAUAUAAUUAGCUUAUAAUUAAUACAUAUUGAAUAUAAUCAAACAUUCCAGAGUUUUAAAAAAUUUAAACCAUUAUCACACUCUUUUUCUCAUUUUACGUAUUAUUCAAGAACAUUAAGUUCUCUGACUGUGUCAUUGGAUAUAUUCAGUUUUCCUGCUUGGUAUCUUAAUUAUAGACUGUCUUCCAGUCUAAAGCAACUACCUCUAAUAUCAUAUCAGCCAUCCCCUCUCUCCACAAAGACCAGCCCUGCUCCUUUUACCUAGUCCAGUCACUCAGUAUUUUUUCUUUUUCAAAACCUAUGGGCUGUACUUUUCCAUGUGGGGUGAUGGGUAACAAGAGAGUUUCUCCUUCACUAUUAUGCAAACACAGACCGAUAUUGUUACUCUUUUUGCAUUUUCUUUGCCUAAUGAAUUUCCAUUUGUAUCUUUAGCUAUGGAAGAUCUAGAGGAAGAAUUUACAGAUCGUAAAUAUUAAAAUUCAAUCUAAAAGUCUCUUCAUCCAAGCAUGUGAGAAAAAUCUUGGUCAGAAUCUUGUUCAGAAUAGGAGGAAGAGGAUGUGUGGCAUGCCUUAUAGUCUUUCAAUGGGCAGAGUAGUGGUUUGACCACUUACAAAUUUACAAAUGUGGAUUGUACCAUACUGUAGCCCUUAUUCUCUGUUUUGUCCACAGGUACCAGGGGAAUCUAUACCUGAAGCAUUACUGGAGUCAAGAAAUUUGACUAUGGUGUUGCUGGGCAUGUGUUUCCUUGUGUAUAUUAUGAUUGGAAUUUUCCCACCUUCUUGCAUUUGUAAGUCUAUGUCCUUUGCAAGUGUGAGCAUUUUUUGGCCAUUAUUUCUCUAAGUCCUUUUUUAAUAUCAUCCUCAUUGUUCUGUUUUCUGAAAUUCAGAUUGCAUGAUUGUCGCAUCAUUUGUUGUGGCCUUUCAUAUUUGUGAAACUAUGUUAAAUUUUUUCAAUUGUUUUACCCUGUGUUGUUCAGAGUAUAGAAUUUCUAUUAUUGCAACCCCUAAACACUGACUGAGUCUUUCCUCAAUCAUUUGCUUUCUGAUAAUUUUCACAGCCAAUAUGGUUUUUUCUUAAUUUUAGACAUUAUAUAUGUCAGUUCUGAAAUUUCUAUUUUAUAAUAUUUUAUAGUUCCUUUUUCUGCUGAGAAGUUUUUUCCCAUUCUUUUCUGCUGAGAAGUUAUUUCCCUCUUUAUUUUGGAAAUGUUCACAUUUACCUCAGAAAAGAUGGCUAUAAGAGCUGCUUUAAAGUCUGAUCAUUUCCAUAUCCAAGUUGUUUCAAGGUUGUCAUCCCUUGGUUGCAUGCUUCAUGAAGAAUUGGUCAAUUGUUUACGGUUUGUAAAAGUAUAUUGAGUAGUUUUCUAUUGUAUUCCUCAGAUAGGCAUUUUCUCAGUUUACAAUACAUGAAAAGUUCAAUAAGGCAAGCUUUGGACAUUGAAGGGUGCAGGCACUCAGGCUGCAUUGUGAUCCACCUACUGGCUCCACUGGCAGAUGGGUUAGUCCCACUGACAUUAUUCUACUUGGAGCUUCUACGUGGAUGAUUCCCCUUGGCUCUUAUGAGAUAAAAGCAUAAGUAUUUCACAUAAUACACACUUAUAAAAUUAAAAACAAUAGAAAAGUGCACUGAAUGAGUCCCAAGAGCCCUAUCCACAACAUCUUCCUAACUUUUCAUCUUUUGUAACCCAUUUGCUCAAAGCUCAAUUGAACUCAAGCACUUCUUUUUUCUUUUGCCCUACAGGAACCGCAGAGUUUAACAUUUGUUUCUUAGAUGCUAUCCCCGUAGCCAGGCAGCCCUGCUGUCUUCUGACUGGGGAUUUACAGAAUGCAGGAAAAUGAGGCAGAGGUAGAAAGAGUGACUAUACACCUAGCAUGCUGGCUCAUGACUGUAAUCCCACUACUUUUGGAGGCUGAGGUUGGAGGACUAUUGAUGCCAGGAAUUCAAGAUCAGCCUGAGCAAUGCAGUGAGACGUCCCCAUGUAUAUAAGAAAAUGUACAAAAUCAACCUUGCAUGGUGAUUGGCACCUGUAGUCCCAUCUAAUUCAGAAGGUGAUCUGGAAGAAUUGUUUGAUCCCAGGAGUUCAAGACUGCAGUGAGCCAUGAUUGCACCACUGUACUCCAGCUUAAGAGACAGAGCAAGUCCCUGUCUCUAAAAAGAAAUAAUACUAAUAAUAACAUUAAUAAUAAUAAAUGACUGCUGCAACUGAAAAGGUUUUUUUCCCCCACCUUGGCUUCUAGCCCCAGGGUCUACUUCCUUUCAAAUGCAUCUCCAAUGUCUAUGGAUUCUACAGACUUGCAGUCUCUUCCUUUCUUUCCCCUCAUGUGCCACUGUGGCUCUAUCCUGUAUCCUCAGCAAGCCUUCCCACACUCCGACAAAAUCAAGUACAAUGGUGAACUGAGCAAGUAUGGGCAAUAGAGCUAUAAAUAUUUAUGUUUCUACCCUCCUUGAUAUUUUUACAAUAUUUGGAGAUGGGUAUGUAGGGCCUUUAGUCCUUCUUGGGCCAGGGUCAUCUCAGCCUUAAAGGAACUGAAAUCAGAGUAGAGGAAAAGAAGUGAUAAGACAGAUGUGAACAAAGCAUCUUCAUGCAAGUAAGCAAGAUACAUUUACUGGCUAAUUCAAGCAUUGUAACCGCAGCCUAAGACUCAAAUGAAUAAACACUGAAUUUGAAGUCCCCCCAAAGGUGUGCAACAGCUUUGGGGGAUUUUUAACACUUUACCUCCUGUUAUCUGUGGAAUGGAGCAAAAACUAAGUGUUACAUGGGAAGUUGGUUUCAAUUAUACCACCUGGUACUCAGUUUACAACCAUUUCCUAAUCCUACUUCUUAAUGAGCUAUAUAAAAGGAAAAGAUUUAUUGACCACUUGUCAUACAUUUUGGUCAAUGUGCCAGCUAUUGAUAUGUGUUUUUUACAUUAUUAACUGAAGAAAAAUGAAUGCCUUUUACAAAUGUUAUAAGAUUACAAAACAAAAAGAAAUCCAAAGGAAACAAAUUAGGGUUGUAAUGUGCAAGCCUAAUGAUUUUCCAUCAGAACUCUCAUAUAAUUGCCCUGUUUGAUAAGAUAAAUGAGCAGGAGCAAGGUUGUGGUGAAGGACUCUGCUGAAGCUUUCCCAGGGAUUCCUAUACUAAAGCUUUGGCUUUCUCAAAGUAUUCUCAGAAUAAGCAGUUAUUGUCAUUCUCCAGAAAGUCAACCAGCAAAAUGACUUGAGCUUUCCAAUAAACUCUUGCCAUGACCUUUGUGCUCUCCUCAUCCACUUUUGUUUUGACUGGACUUUUCCACUUCUUGGUAGCCAUUGCAUUGAUUGUAUUUGUUUUCAGGAUUUUACUGGUAAAGCCAUGCGUUAUCUCCUCUUAUAAUUCCUUGAAGAAAUGCUUACAGUCUUCAUUGCUCCUAUUUAAAUUUUUUAGGGAAACUUCUGCUCUUGUCUGUACUUCAUCUUGGUGACACAGUUUGGGCAUCCAUCAAGUGAAAAGUUUACUAAACUUUAAUCAUUCAGUUAGAAUCAUGUAAACUGAACCAACUGAGAAGUCUGCAAUGUUGGCUAUUGUGUGAACUGCUAAUCAUCACACAUCUUCUCCUGGGUAUAAAGAAGAUGAAUUUAUUCCUUGCAAUAUGAUGUGAAUCAUCUGUCACUGUAGACUUUAGGUUCAACAUUGCCUCAUUCCUUCCUGAAAUGAGGAACUCCUCAUUGAAUUUGUGAACUGCUGACUUCUUCAACCAAUGUCAACUUACCAUGUGCCAAGUAGGACAACUUUUUGGACACCAUCAAUGAUUUCAUCUUCUUCCACCCAAGCUUCACCAUAAAUUUGAUGUUUUUACUCACUUUACUUUUAGAAGAAUUCAUGUUGCUCUUCUAGGAGCUCUUUUGAAACUGCUCUCUUAUUUUUCUUGAUGCCUCAAACUAGCUCGUGUUCAGACAUGUUAUAGCAAAACAUUAUGAUUUCAUUUUGGUGCCAAAAAACUUGGAAUCCAUUCAUGGUAUUUCUUAAUAGAAUAUACAUUUUCCAUUAACAUUUUAACAACCCACUGCAUAUAGGAAGGCGUCCUGAUACAACAAGCUCUACUACAGGUAACUUAGACUUUUCCAGCUGACUAGGCAGAUUGGUUUCUUGUUUUUCUCCUAGCAUAAAUAGGAAUGUUUUCUGAAGGUGGAAUAUAAUACCAAUGGCCAAAUUUUCUCCAGCUACAUGGAAAGUUUAACAUUUGUAAGUAAGAGUCACAUGCUUUAAUAGAGACACAGAGUGCUUGGGCCAACCUGGUGUCCUGAUCUUAUUGAAUGAUUUUCUCUGGUUUCACCAAACAUUAUUUGGAAAGAUAAGCUGGCGAUGAGCAGUCUGGCCUAGGUAGCUUACGAUGGCCCAUCAGGUAGGGAAGAAACACAAGAGAGAAGAAGCAGAGAGGAGUGCCAGGCAGAUGUGCCUCCUUGUGGGAGUCAAUAGUCCUGGUUGGAGGCAGGCUUCUUUUUGUCUACUGAGUACAGCAAGCCAAGAGGUGAUGCUUCCAAAUAUCACUCUGCUCACACCCUAUUCAUGACCUUCUCCUAUGUCAGAAAUGCAUGAAAGAGAUUAGCAUAUCAGGAAGGAGUAAAUAUCAGGUAUCAAGCUACCAGAGACAACCAAAACAGAGGUUACCAAAGAACUGAAGGAGACAGUGUCACUUAGGAUGAGGUCAAAGCAAGGAGCAGGACUGCAACAGGAGCUUAGGCACUUGUCCAUGAGUCAAGGACCUCAGUAAUCCACUUGCCAUUUAAAACAAAUGUAAAUUUACCAUGUGCCAAGCAGGACUCUUGAUUUCUACUCCUAAAACCUGCUCUCCCCUGAAUUUCUUCAUCAUAGCCGUCAAAACAAAAUAUCACAGACUAGGUAUUCUUAAGCAAUAGAAAUUACUUUCCAACACUUCUGGAUGCUCAAGUUCCAUGAGGAAGGUGUCAGCAGGUUUAGUUCUUCUGGGCUGUGUCUGCUUGGCAUCUAGGUAUCUGCCUUCUUGCUGUGUCCUUCCAUGGAUGUGUAUGUACUUCCUGUGUCUCUCUCUACAAAUUUCCAGUUCUUAUAAGGAAUUUCCACUUCUUAUAAGGACAGCAAUCUUAUUGGAUUUAGUUCCACUGAAACUCCAUCAUUUCAGCUUGAUAACCUCUUCCUAGGGCUGUUUUCUAAACACAAUCAUAUUCUAAGGGACAAGAAGUUGGUUGUGGAUUUUUGUAUACCUAUGCCUAUCAUAUUUUGCUAAAUAUUUGAUUAUAUAGAGAUUAUUUCUUUGGAACUUUGAGCUGUGUGAAGACAACACAAACCUGGCCAUUCAUGGCUGACAGAAGGUUGGCCCUCAGCCUGGUCAGACCCACACAGAUUGUCUAAUAUUCUUUGAUCUGGCUCUAGUCAGAAAAGUCUUGGUGUUGUAGAAUACAGGUGUCUUCACGCAUUGUAUUAUUAAUAUUCAUGGGGAGGUUAAAACAAAGUUGGCCCCGAAAACUACCAAGGGGUUCUAGAAUGAACAGAAUGAAUACACAGUUCUUAAAGGGGACAUCCUAUUUUGUCUUUAAAUUUUUUUCCUUGCUCUACCCCUUUGUUAGAAUGUUUGAUCAGAUUCAGUUUGGGAUUUACAUCUUUUAGGAAAUUUUGUUUUUUAAUAUAGAUUCUCGCUCUGUCACCCAGGCUGGAGUGUGGUGUCAUGAUCCUGGCUUACAGCAUCCUUGAACUCCUGUGCUCAGGGGAUUCCCCCCGCUUCUGCCUCUUGAGUGGCUUGAAUUACAGGUUCAUGACACCAUGUCCGUUUAUUUUUUGUUUGUUUGUUUUAAACUUUUCUUGAAGAGAUGGAGCCUCACUUUGCUCAGGCUGGCCUUUUUUUUUUUUUUUUUUUUUUUUUGGAGACGGAGUCUCACUCUGUCCCAGGCUGGAGUGCAGUGGCGCAAUCUCUGCUCACUGUAAGCUCCGCCUCCUGGGUUCACGCCAUUCUCCUGCCUCAGCCUCCUUAGUAGCUGAGACUACAGGCGCCCACCACCACGCCCGGCUAAUUUGGUUUUGUAUUUCUAAUAGAAACGGGGUUUCACUGUGUUAGCCAGGAUGGUCUCGAUCUCCUGAUCUCAUGAUCUGCCCGCCUCGGCCUCCCAAAGUGCUGGGAUUACAGGCAUGAGCCACCGUGUCCGGCCUGGUCUUGAACUUCUGGCCUCAAGGGAUCCUCACACCUCACUCUUCCAAAGUCCUGCGAUUAUAGGCAUCAGUUGCCACAUUCAGCCUUUCUUCUAGGAAAAAUUUUUAAUCACUCCCAAUUAAAAUGCGUGGUCACAAUUAUAUGCUUAAAUAAGAUGGUCUGGCACCCACAUAAAAGCCUCAAGAGUAUUGCAUUGAUCUAUUUCUUAGAGCCUGUGAUAUCUGUCUCCCAGACUGUUCUUUCACACAGAAAUUUUUUUCAUUUUUGCAAUAUUCUGAAACUAAUUUCUUCCCAGUCUCUUUCUAAAAUGUAUUUAUUGAAAUUUUGUGUUCUAAAUCAAUCUUGCCUGUGUUUACUUUUCAUCUUAUAUCUGACUUCUUUUUAAAUGAAAUUUGGGAAAAUUUUUAAAUCUAAUCUUCUAAGUAACCAUCUAUAUUUCUUGUUACUCCUUUAUUUUUCUUUUUGUUUUUAAAAUUUGCAUCAAUAUACUGUGUUUCCAAGGUCUUUUUACUGAGGUUCUGUUGGUAGCUCUCUUUUCAUCUGCUGACUUUUCUGUUAUAUCAAGUAGUUCCUGCCCAUCCUUUCAUCCUUUUCAUGGAAAGCGUAGGUGAGUCAGUAUCAACAGCUGCCACUUAUCAUUUCAGGCUUUGAAUAAGUCUCGUGCUGUCAUUCAGUUUUUGUUCAGGGAUAGUGAUAACUUCGGGAUGGCCAUGUUAGAAGUAAUGAGUAGGGGGAUGUGACUGGAAAUCCUAAAGACAAACUGCUUGAUCAGUUGGAUGAGGGGAUCCUGUGUUGUACACAUAAGAAUCUGUUCCUGCCCUUCCAGAAUGGUUUGAGAAUAAAAGGGGAUUUCAAAAAGUUUGUGGAAGAAUAUAAUUACAAUAUGAAAGUAGACAUUAUGUAAACUUUAUUUCUUAACGUAAGCUCCAUCACAUUCAAGAAGUUUAGCAAGUAAUGAUACAAGUAAUUUAGCCUAUCUAUAAAAAUUGACGAUCCUGAAAUUAGUUUCAGAAUGCAGUCUUUUCACAUCAUUAACUGAAGAAAACAGAGUACACUUUAAAAAUAUUUCAAUAUUAGAAAAAAAAUCUGAAGUCCAAAGAUACUGCAUCAGAACUGUAAGUUGGGUGCCUAGGGAUUUUCUUUUUUUUUUUUUUCUUUUUUGUUUUAUUUACAUAGCUUGGGGAACAGGUGGUGUUUGGUUAUGUGAAUCAGUUCUGCAGUGGUGAUUUGUGAGAUUUUGGUGCACCCAUCAUCCGGGCAGUAUACACUGCACCCAGUGUAUAAGAGAGAGGUAAAAGUGACGUCUUUUACCCCUCUCCCCUUUCCCACUCUUUCCCCCUGAGUUCCCAAAGUCCAUUGUGUCAUUCUUAUGCCUUCGCAUUCUCAUAGUUUAGCUCCGAUUCAUGAGUGAGAACAUGCGAUGUUGGCUUUUCCAUUCCUAAGUUGCUUGACUUAGAAUGAUAACAUCAACUUAUGAGAGAGUAUGGAGUAAGUUAGCCAAAACUUUAGCAGGGAAAUGCCCGGAAAAGCUUUAGCAGAGAGUUCUUAUCCAUCACAACAAUGCUCCUGCUCAUUUCUCUCAUGAAACAAGGGCAAUUUUGCCAGACUUAUGAGGGACAUUCACUAGGCAUCCAAUCUCAUCCAUUUAUCUGCUAAAGAUUUGGCUAACUUUCUCCAAACUCCAAACUUAUAAGCUGAUGUCGUCAUCUUUGACCCUCCAGAAAGUUAACAAACAAAAUACCUCGAACAUCCAAAAAUACCGUUGACAUGAUGUUUGCUCUUGUCGCAUUUAUUUAGACUAGACCACUUCCACCUCUUGGUAGCCAUUGCUUUGAUUGUGUUUUUCCUUUAGGAUGGCACUGGUAAAGCCAUGUUUGAUUUCCUGUUACAACUCUCCAAAGAAAUGCUUUAGGAUCUUUUCUUUUCUUUUCUUCUACUUCCUACUUCUUUAAUUUUUCAUUGAACCUUCUGUUCUUCUCUGUAGCUGACUCAGGUACAGCAGUUUUGGCCAUCAUCAAGUCGAUAGUUUGCUCAACUUUAAUUUUUCAGCCAGAAAAAAAUUUAUGUAAUCUGAACCAAUUGACAGUCUUCUUGUGCUAGCCCUUUUUUCUGCUGUUAACUGUGAGGUCUCUUCAAUUGGAAUAAAAGAAGAUAAAAUUUUUGCCCAUAAGUUGCUGUGUAUGGUCUGCUGCUGCAGAGUUCAUCUUCACCAUCAUCUAGUCAAUUCUUAAAAGGAGUUAUCCAUUUGUGAAGGGCUGAUUUACUUGGGCACAAAUAUUUCAUGAUGCAUCAGUGAUUUCACCAUCCCUCCGCCCAAGCUGCAUCAUAAACUUGAUAUUUGUUCUUGAUACAAUUUUAGUAGAAUAUUUGUUGAUCUGAUAGAAGUUGUUUUCAAACUGCUGUCUCAACCAUGUUAGUGACUGAACUAUAUCCUUUUCAGACAUGUUGUAACAAGUUAGUAAAAAUGUAUUUUGGUAUGAAAAAUGUUUGUAUCCCUGCAUAAUUUUAAAAAAUAAUAUAUAUUUUCCACAAACAGUUUGAAGAUGCCUUAUAUUACUGGAAGUUGUCCUCAUACAAUGAAGUUUGUUGCUGAUUACUCUGCCAUUGGCUGGUGAUCAGGCAGAUUGUUGUUUUCCUCCCUCACCCCUUCUGGAAUAUUAGGGAUGUUUGCUAAGAGGAAAUAUAUUACCAGUUAGCAAUUCUUCUUUGGCUAUGCAAUAAUAAAACAAUUGUAGCUUG